UAGCGUCUAUAAGCUUCCAUCAA
Molecule: unclassified non-coding RNA, 23 nt
Filed under: Mus musculus (house mouse)
Lineage: Eukaryota; Metazoa; Chordata; Mammalia; Rodentia; Muridae
Description: oocyte_clustered_small_RNA5628
Source: RNAcentral